RNAcentral lists this non-coding RNA (194 nucleotides) under Pseudomonas sp. The record is from RNAcentral. Lineage: Bacteria; Pseudomonadati; Pseudomonadota; Gammaproteobacteria; Pseudomonadales; Pseudomonadaceae. RNAcentral also lists the same sequence under 1 other name.
CAUAUCCGCGCCGAUUCAGGUGCCUUACGCCGCCGCGCGUGAGGUGAAACGGGAAGUCGGUGCAAGUCCGACGCUGCCCCCGCAACGGUAAGCGAGCGACCUCAUCACUAGGCCACUGUGCAAAUUUUGCAUGGGAAGGCGAUGACGUCAUGACCCUCGCCAGCCCGGAGACCGGCCUGAAUCUGGGAGUUGCU